Molecule: ribosomal RNA, 490 nt
Filed under: uncultured bacterium
Lineage: Bacteria
Description: partial 16S ribosomal RNA
Rfam family: Bacterial small subunit ribosomal RNA
Source: RNAcentral
GAUGAACGCUAGCUACAGGCUUAACACAUGCAAGUCGAGGGGAAACGACAUUGAAGCUUGCUUCGAUGGUCGUCGACCGGCGCACGGGUGAGUAACGCGUAUCCAACCUGCCUCUGACCAAGGGAUAACCCGUCGAAAGUCGGCCUAAUACCUUAUGCAGUCGUCGGAAGUCAUCUGAUGACGACGAAAGAUUUCAUCGGUGAGAGAUGGGGAUGCGUCUGAUUAGCUUGUUGGCGGGGUAACGGCCCACCAAGGCAACGAUCAGUAGGGGUUCUGAGAGGAAGGUCCCCCACAUUGGAACGGAGACCCGGUCCAAACUCCUACGGGAGGCAGCAGUGGGGAAUAUUGGUAAAUGGGGGAGAGCCUGAACCAGCCAAGUAGGGUGCAGGAGGACGGCCCUAUGGGUUGUAAACGGGUUUUAUGGGGGGAAAAAGGGGGGGACGGGGCCUUCAUUGAAGGUACCGAAUGAAUAAGGACCGGCUAAUUCCGU